CUCGCCUGUUUAACAAAAACAUGUCUUUUUGAAUUAUUUAAAAAGUCUACCCUGCCCACUGAAUUAUUUUAAAUGGCCGCAGUAUCCUAACUGUGCAAAGGUAGCAUAAUCAUUAGUCUUUUAAUUGAAGGCUGGUAUGAAUGGUUGGACGAGAUAUUAACUGUUUCAUAAAAAUUUAUAAUAGAAUUUUAUUUUUUAGUCAAAAAGCUAAAAUAAAUUUAAAAGACGAGAAGACCCUAUAAAUCUUUAUAUUUAAAUAAUUACAAUUUUGUGGAUUUUUUUUGUUGUGAUUGUUGAUAAUAUUUUAUUGGGGUGAUAUUAAAAUUUAAAAAACUUUUAAUUAAUUAAAUCAUUAAUUUAUGAAUAAUUGAUCCGUUAUUAACGAUUAAAAAUUUAAGUUACUUUAGGGAUAACAGCGUAAUUUUUUUGGAGAGUUCAUAUCGAUAAAAAAGAUUGCGACCUCGAUGUUGGAUUAAGAGAUAUAUUUUGGUGUAGCCGCUAAAAUGUUAAGUCUGUUCGACUUUUAAAUUCUUACGUGAUCUGAGUUCAGACCGG
Molecule: ribosomal RNA, 555 nt
Filed under: Musca domestica (house fly)
Lineage: Eukaryota; Metazoa; Arthropoda; Insecta; Diptera; Muscidae
Description: partial large subunit ribosomal RNA
Rfam family: Bacterial large subunit ribosomal RNA
Source: RNAcentral